GCGGUAAUACGGAGGGUGCGAGCGUUAAUCGGAAUUACUGGGCGUAAAGCGCAUGCAGGUGGUUUGUUAAGUCAGAUGUGAAAGCCCGGGGCUCAACCUCGGAAUUGCAUUUGAAACUGGCAAACUAGAGUACUGUAGAGGGGGGUAGAAUUUCAGGUGUAGCGGUGAAAUGCGUAGAGAUCUGAAGGAAUAACCGGUGGCGAAGGCGGCCCCCCUGGACCAGAUACUGACACUCAGAGUUCGCGAAAGCGUGGGGAGCAAACAGGAUUAGAUACCCUGGUAG
RNAcentral lists this ribosomal RNA (283 nucleotides) under uncultured bacterium. RNAcentral describes it as "partial 16S ribosomal RNA". It matches the Rfam family "Bacterial small subunit ribosomal RNA", at positions 517 to 793 of the family's 1533-position model. The record is from RNAcentral.